AUGGAUGGGGACCGUGUACCUUCUGGAGAUUCAGUCCGUCGGUUUAUUCUUGGCUAUGCUUCACUUGCAGCGGUCACUGCAAUUGUUGUGGUGUUGGGUGUGCUGCUGGGAGCUGUGAAAUGUAUUAUUCCCCUCAACUGGUGUGCUUAUUACUCAGGGAAGAGGAGUGAUUCUCUCUUGGUCUGGGAAAGGCCGAAUGCAUUUUCUUCAAAGGUAAGACGUUUUUGUGGCCGUUUGAACAGAGUAGCUUCAACUCUCCGAGUGAAAAUAAGGCCUAAUACUUGGGCUGGAAG
Molecule: unclassified non-coding RNA, 293 nt
Filed under: Hevea brasiliensis (rubber tree)
Lineage: Eukaryota; Viridiplantae; Streptophyta; Magnoliopsida; Malpighiales; Euphorbiaceae
Source: RNAcentral